This 468-nucleotide ribosomal RNA is filed under the name uncultured bacterium. RNAcentral's name for it is "partial 16S ribosomal RNA". It matches the Rfam family "Bacterial small subunit ribosomal RNA", at positions 28 to 507 of the family's 1533-position model. The record is from RNAcentral.
GACGAACGCUGGCGGCGUGCUUAACACAUGCAAGUCGAACGGAAAGGCCCUGCUUUUGUGGGGUGCUCGAGUGGCGAACGGGUGAGUAACACGUGAAUAACCUGCCCUUGACUUUGGGAUAACUUCAGGAAACUGGGGCUAAUACCGGAUAGGAGCUCCUGCUGCAUGGUGGGGGUUGGAAAGUUUCGGCGGUUGGGGAUGGACUCGCGGCUGAUCAGCUUGUUGGUGGGGUAGUGGCUUACCAAGGCUUUGACGGGUAGCCGGCCUGAGAGGGUGACCGGCCACAUUGGGACUGAGAUACGGCCCAGACUCCUACGGGAGGCAGCAGUGGGGAAUAUUGCACAAUGGGCGGAAGCCGGAUGCAGCAACGCCGCGUUCGGGAUGACGGCCUUCGGGUUGUAAACCGCUUUCGCCUGUGACGAAGCGUGAGUGACGGUAAUGGGUAAAGAAGCACCGGCUAACUACGUG